GAUGAACGCUGGCGGCGUGCUUAACACAUGCAAGUCGAACGGACGGAUUGGAGCUUGCUCCAUGAAGUUAGUGGCGGACGGGUGAGUAACGCGUGGGUAACCUGCCCUAUGCAGGGGGAUAACAACAAGAAAUUGUUGCUAAUACCGCAUAAUAUGAGAGCUUCGCAUGAAGCACUCAUCAAAGAUUUAUCGGCAUAGGAUGGACCCGCGUUAGAUUAGCUAGUUGGUGAGAUAAAAGCUCACCAAGGCGACGAUCUAUAGCCGGCCUGAGAGGGUGAACGGCCACACUGGGACUGAGACACGGCCCAGACUCCUACGGGAGGCAGCAGUGGGGAAUAUUGCACAAUGGGCGCAAGCCUGAUGCAGCGACGCCGCGUGAAGGAUGAAGGUUUUUUCGGAUCGUAAAACUUCUAUCAGCAGGGAGGAACCAAAUGACGGUACCUGACUAAGAAGCCCCGGCUAACUACGUGCCAGCCGCCGCGGUAAUU
Molecule: ribosomal RNA, 488 nt
Filed under: uncultured bacterium
Lineage: Bacteria
Description: bacterial SSU rRNA
Rfam family: Bacterial small subunit ribosomal RNA
Source: RNAcentral